GUCGAGCGAAUGGAUUAAGAGCUUGCUCUUAUGAAGUUAGCGGCGGACGGGUGAGUAACACGUGGGUAACCUGCCCAUAAGACUGGGAUAACUCCGGGAAACCGGGGCUAAUACCGGAUAACAUUUUGAACUGCAUGGUUCGAAAUUGAAAGGCGGCUUCGGCUGUCACUUAUGGAUGGACCCGCGUCGCAUUAGCUAGUUGGUGAGGUAACGGCUCACCAAGGCAACGAUGCGUAGCCGACCUGAGAGGGUGAUCGGCCACACUGGGACUGAGACACGGCCCAGACUCCUACGGGAGGCAGCAGUAGGGAAUCUUCCGCAAUGGACGAAAGUCUGACGGAGCAACGCCGCGUGAGUGAUGAAGGCUUUCGGGUCGUAAAACUCUGUUGUUAGGGAAGAACAAGUGCUAGUUGAAUAAGCUGGCACCUUGACGGUACUUAACCAGAAAGCCACGGCUAACUACGUGCCAGCAGCCGCGGUAAUACGUAGGUGGCAAGCGUUAUCCGGAAUUAUUGGGCGUAAAGCGCGCGCAGGUGGUUUCUUAAGUCUGAUGUGAAAGCCCACGGCUCAACCGUGGAGGGUCAUUGGAAACUGGGAGACUUGAGUGCAAAAGAGGAAAGUGGAAUUCCAUGUGUAGCGGUGAAAAUGCGUAGAGAUAUGGAGGAACACCAGUGGCGAAGGCGACUUUCUGGUCUGUAACUGACACUGAGGCGCGAAAGCGUGGG
RNAcentral lists this ribosomal RNA (725 nucleotides) under Bacillus bombysepticus. Its description in RNAcentral is "bacterial SSU rRNA". It matches the Rfam family "Bacterial small subunit ribosomal RNA", at positions 61 to 765 of the family's 1533-position model. Lineage: Bacteria; Bacillati; Bacillota; Bacilli; Caryophanales; Bacillaceae. The record is from RNAcentral.